RNAcentral lists this non-coding RNA (27 nucleotides) under Bombyx mori (domestic silkworm). The record is from RNAcentral. Lineage: Eukaryota; Metazoa; Arthropoda; Insecta; Lepidoptera; Bombycidae.
UGUAGGUAUGUCACACUGAGAAGUGGU